This 468-nucleotide ribosomal RNA is filed under the name uncultured bacterium. RNAcentral describes it as "partial 16S ribosomal RNA". It matches the Rfam family "Bacterial small subunit ribosomal RNA", at positions 28 to 507 of the family's 1533-position model. The record is from RNAcentral.
GACGAACGCUGGCGGCGUGCUUAACACAUGCAAGUCGAACGGAAAGGCCCUGCUUUUGUGGGGUGCUCGAGUGGCGAACGGGUGAGUAACACGUGAGUAACCUGCCCUUGACUUUGGGAUAACUUCAGGUAACUGGGGCUAAUACCGGAUAGGCGCUCCUGCUGCAUGGUGUGGGUUGGAAAGUUUCGGCGUUUUGGGAAGCACUCGCGGCUUAUCAGUUUGUUGGUGGGGUAGUGGCUUACCAAGGCUUUGACGGGUAGCCGGCCUGAGAGGGUGACCGGCCACAUUGGGACUGAGAUACGGCCCAGACUCCUACGGGAGGCAGCAGUGGGGAAUAUUGCACAAUGGGCGGAAGCCUGAUGCAGCAACGCCGCGUGCGGGAUUACGGCCUUCGGGUUGUAAACCGCUUUCGCCUGUGACGAAGCGUGAGUGACGGUAAUGGGUAAAGAAGCACCGGCUAACUACGUG